This is a small nucleolar RNA of Macaca fascicularis (crab-eating macaque), 104 nucleotides long. Lineage: Eukaryota; Metazoa; Chordata; Mammalia; Primates; Cercopithecidae. The record is from Ensembl.
ACCCUUUUGUGGUUUAUACAUGUGACGAUUGGGUUUUCACACUCACAUAUGAGAUGUGCCUCCCUCCAACAUUGUUAUGAUGUCAGCACAUUACCCAUCUGACA